This 441-nucleotide ribosomal RNA is filed under the name uncultured bacterium. RNAcentral's name for it is "bacterial SSU rRNA". It matches the Rfam family "Bacterial small subunit ribosomal RNA", at positions 339 to 796 of the family's 1533-position model. The record is from RNAcentral.
CUACGGGAGGCAGCAGUGAGGAAUAUUGGGCAAUGGGGGAAACCCUGACCCAGCAAUGCCGCGUGCGGGAAGACGCCUUUCGGGGUGUAAACCGCUUUUCUGCAUGAAGAGGAAGGACGGUAGUGCAGGAAUAAGUCACGGCUAACUACGUGCCAGCAGCCGCGGUAAUACGGAGGAUCCAAGCGUUAUCCGGAUUUAUUGGGCGUAAAGCGCGCGUAGGCGGCAUGUUAAGUUGGACGUGAAAGCUCCUGGCUCAACUGGGAGAGGACGUACAAAACUGACAAGCUUGAGGGUAGAAGAGGAGAGCAGAAUUCCCGGUGUAGUGGUGGAAUGCGUAGAUAUCGGGAGGAAUACCAGUGGCGAAGGCGGCUCUCUGAUCUAACCCUGACGCUGAGGUGCGAAAGCGUGGGGAGCGAACGGGAUUAGAUACCCCAGUAGUCC